This 496-nucleotide ribosomal RNA is filed under the name uncultured bacterium. Its description in RNAcentral is "partial 16S ribosomal RNA". It matches the Rfam family "Bacterial small subunit ribosomal RNA", at positions 29 to 507 of the family's 1533-position model. The record is from RNAcentral.
AUGCACGCUGGCGGCGUGCCUAAUACAUGCAAGUCGAGCGAACAGACGAGGAGCUUGCUCCUCUGACGUUAGCGGCGGACGGGUGAGUAACACGUGGAUAACCUACCUAUAAGACUGGGAUAACUUCGGGAAACCGGAGCUAAUACCGGAUAAUAUAUUGAACCGCAUGGUUCAAUAGUGAAAGACGGUUUUGCUGUCACUUAUAGAUGGAUCCGCGCCGCAUUAGCUAGUUGGUAAGGUAACGGCUUACCAAGGCAACGAUGCGUAGCCGACCUGAGAGGGUGAUCGGCCACACUGGAACUGAGACACGGUCCAGACUCCUACGGGAGGCAGCAGUAGGGAAUCUUCCGCAAUGGGCGAAAGCCUGACGGAGCAACGCCGCGUGAGUGAUGAAGGUCUUCGGAUCGUAAAACUCUGUUAUUAGGGAAGAACAAAUGUGUAAGUAACUAUGCACGUCUUGACGGUACCUAAUCAGAAAGCCACGGCUAACUGCGUG